GGCAGGUUGCCCGAGCGGCCAAAGGGAGCUGACUGUAAAUCAGCCGGCAAUGCCUACAGUGGUUCGAAUCCACUACCUGCCA
Molecule: transfer RNA, 82 nt
Filed under: Nocardioides sp.
Lineage: Bacteria; Bacillati; Actinomycetota; Actinomycetes; Propionibacteriales; Nocardioidaceae
Also listed under: 3 other names
Description: tRNA-Tyr
Rfam family: tRNA
About the family: Transfer RNA (tRNA) molecules are approximately 80 nucleotides in length.
Source: RNAcentral